AACGAACGCUGGCGGCAUGCCUAACACAUGCAAGUCGAACGAGACCUUCGGGUCUAGUGGCGCACGGGUGCGUAACGCGUGGGAACCUGCCUUUAGGUUCGGAAUAACUCAGAGAAAUUUGAGCUAAUACCGGAUAAUGUCUUCGGACCAAAGAUUUAUCGCCUUUAGAUGGGCCCGCGUUGGAUUAGCUAGUUGGUGGGUAAAGCCUACCAAGGCGACGAUCCAUAGCUGGUCUGAGAGGAUGAUCAGCCACACUGGGACUGAGACACGGCCCA
This 275-nucleotide ribosomal RNA is filed under the name uncultured bacterium. Its description in RNAcentral is "partial 16S ribosomal RNA". It matches the Rfam family "Bacterial small subunit ribosomal RNA", at positions 29 to 333 of the family's 1533-position model. The record is from RNAcentral.